RNAcentral lists this ribosomal RNA (546 nucleotides) under uncultured bacterium. RNAcentral describes it as "bacterial SSU rRNA". It matches the Rfam family "Bacterial small subunit ribosomal RNA", at positions 777 to 1320 of the family's 1533-position model. The record is from RNAcentral.
AAUAGAUACCCGGGUAGUCCACGCCGUAAACGGUGGGUACUAGGUGUGGGUUUCCUUCCUUGGGAUCCGUGCCGUAGCUAACGCAUUAAGUACCCCGCCUGGGGAGUACGGCCGCAAGGCUAAAACUCAAAGGAGUUGACGGGGGCCCGCACAAGCGGCGGAGCAUGUGGAUUAAUUCGAUGCAACGCGAAGAACCUUACCUGGGUUUGACAUGCACAGGACGCCGGCAGAGAUGUCGGUUCCCUUGUGGCCUGUGUGCAGGUGGUGCAUGGCUGUCGUCAGCUCGUGUCGUGAGAUGUUGGGUUAAGUCCCGCAACGAGCGCAACCCUUGUCCUAUGUUGCCAGCGGGUUAUGCCGGGGACUCGUAGGAGACUGCCGGGGUCAACUCGGAGGAAGGUGGGGAUGACGUCAAGUCAUCAUGCCCCUUAUGUCCAGGGCUUCACACAUGCUACAAUGGCCGGUACAAAGGGCUGCGAUGCCGUGAGGUGGAGCGAAUCCUUGGUAAAGCCGGUCUCAGUUCGGAUCGGGGUCUGCAACUCGACCCCG